AGGCGCGUAGCUCAGCUGGUUAGAGCACCACCUUGACAUGGUGGGGGUCGUAGGUUCGAGUCCUAUCGCGCCUACCA
This 77-nucleotide transfer RNA is filed under the name Burkholderiales bacterium. RNAcentral describes it as "tRNA-Val". It matches the Rfam family "tRNA". From Rfam's summary of the family: Transfer RNA (tRNA) molecules are approximately 80 nucleotides in length. Their secondary structure includes four short double-helical elements and three loops (D, anti-codon, and T loops). RNAcentral also lists the same sequence under 12 other names. Lineage: Bacteria; Pseudomonadati; Pseudomonadota; Betaproteobacteria; Burkholderiales. The record is from RNAcentral.